Long non-coding RNA from Oreochromis aureus, 1072 nucleotides. NCBI's taxonomy places the organism in Eukaryota, Metazoa, Chordata, Actinopteri, Cichliformes, Cichlidae. The record is from Ensembl.
AUGUGAUUAGAGGAUCACCAGGGGGUCCUUUGUCCCUCCUUGGGGGGAUACUCCCACUGGGUUUAAAUCUGGGACUUUCGGCCAUUUGACCUUAGAACUGAAGAAGCUUCUCGGAUGAGAGGUGAAACGUCUUCAAGCAACUCAAAGAAGUCCAGACGCUUUUCUUUGCAAACUCCUUUGACUACGAUGACCUGGAUGACUGAGAACCUUCACAGACGUAAGAGCAGAUGGCGUUGACAGUUGAAUUUUCAACAAUGUUGCAACUUUGUGUGGGAGCAGGAAGGGAAGAAAACACUAUCAGCAGCACCAGAAAGGAGGAAGACAGAGUGUGGGAACACAGGACCUGCACUUUUAACACUUUUAUUAGACCUGUGUCCAGUGGACCCGAACACCUUGGGCCUGUCCAGCCUUCGUCUGUCUUCGCUGGGGGUUCCGAGGGACCGCUUCAGCCAUUCGUCUUCACUGGAGGAGCCCGUCCAGCCAUCAGCGUCGCCUGCAGAAUAGCAACCAGUGCCUUGUGCGCUGGUCCUUAUUCCUCCAGGACUACAACAUUGACACCCGAUACAAAAAGGGCUUAGAAGACGUCAUGGCUGAUGUCCUCUCUAGGUCAUGAAUCAAACAUUUCAUUUGGGGUUAAAUGUUUGAUUUUUUGGUUGGGGGAAAUGUUAUGAUCCAAUGUUGUCAGUGUUUUGUUUUAUUCGUGACUCCUCCCCCCCAGAGGAUGGCUGUGGGUUUCUUCCCCUUUUCUCUCUUAGGAGGUGGACACCUGGGCGUGCCUGCUGGGUGGAGUCUCUUCCUGUCCUUGGAUUGGAUAAUUGGCUAAUCACCUGCAGUAUUUAACUACCAGAUGACAGCCACCUGGCCCCCUCUCUCCUAACCUCCACCAUCCAACAAAGAACCUGUGUUGUUUCGUUGCAGUGUAGAGUUUCUUAGACAAAGUGAUUUGCAAGUAUAACCUCGUGUGUGUGUGUGUGUGUGUGUGUGUGUGUGUACUUGUUUUCGUGACAUCUGAGGACAAUUUUAUGAUAACACACUCACAAAAUGAGGACGCUCGGAAAAAUGAGGACAUUUU